UACAGAGGGGGCAAGCGUUGUUCGGAAUUACUGGGCGUAAAGGGCGCGUAGGCGGCCUUCUAAGUCGAACGUGAAAUCCCUGGGCUCAACCCAGGAACUGCGUCCGAGACUGAAAGGCUUGAAUCCGGGAGAGGGAUGUGGAAUUCCAGGUGUAGCGGUGAAAUGCGUAGAUAUCUGGAGGAACAUCGGUGGCGAAGGCGGCAUCCUGGACCGGUAUUGACGCUGAGGCGCGAAAGCCAGGGGAGCAAGCGGG
This 253-nucleotide ribosomal RNA is filed under the name uncultured bacterium. RNAcentral describes it as "partial 16S ribosomal RNA". It matches the Rfam family "Bacterial small subunit ribosomal RNA", at positions 524 to 776 of the family's 1533-position model. The record is from RNAcentral.